Molecule: ribosomal RNA, 253 nt
Filed under: bacterium
Lineage: Bacteria
Also listed under: 2 other names
Description: partial 16S ribosomal RNA
Rfam family: Bacterial small subunit ribosomal RNA
Source: RNAcentral
CACGAACCGUCCAAACGUUAUUCGGAAUUAUUGGGCUUAAAGGGUGCGUAGGCGGCGCUUUAAGUCGGGUGUGAAAUCCUUCGGCUCAACCGAAGAAUUGCGCCCGAUACUGGGGUGCUAGAGGGAGACAGGGGUGAGCGGAACUGAUGGUGGAGCGGUGAAAUGCGUUGAUAUCAUCAGGAACACCGGUGGCGAAAGCGGCUCACUGGGUCUCUUCUGACGCUGAGGCACGAAAGCCAGGGUAGCGAACGGG